UGGGGAAUAUUGCACAAUGGGGGAAACCCUGAUGCAGCGACGCCGCGUGAGCGAAGAAGUUUUUCGAGUCGUAAAGCUCUGUCCUAUGAGAAGAUAAUGAUGGUAUCAUAGGAGGAAGCCCUGGCUAAAUACGUGCCAGCAGCCGCGGUAAUACGUAUGGGGCGAGCGUUGUCCGGAAGUAUUGGGCGUAAAGGGUACGUAGGUGGUUUUUUAUGUCAGGUGUCAAAGCGUGGAGCUUAACUCCAUUAAGCACUUGAAACUGAACAACUUGAGUGAAGGAGAGGAAAGUGGAAUUCCUUGUGUUGCGGUGAAAUGAGUUACUAUUAAGAGGAAUAACGGUGGCUAAGGCGUCUUUCUGGACUUUUACUGACGCUCAGGUACGAAAGCGUGGGGAGCAAACAGG
This 403-nucleotide ribosomal RNA is filed under the name Verrucomicrobiota bacterium. Its description in RNAcentral is "Verrucomicrobia bacterium partial 16S ribosomal RNA". It matches the Rfam family "Bacterial small subunit ribosomal RNA", at positions 355 to 776 of the family's 1533-position model. Lineage: Bacteria; Pseudomonadati; Verrucomicrobiota. The record is from RNAcentral.